UAGGGAGCACAAGUAGGUCCCACGGUCC
RNAcentral lists this non-coding RNA (28 nucleotides) under Rattus norvegicus (Norway rat). The record is from RNAcentral. Lineage: Eukaryota; Metazoa; Chordata; Mammalia; Rodentia; Muridae.